Oncorhynchus gorbuscha (pink salmon) is the source of this 2138-nucleotide long non-coding RNA. RefSeq lists it as uncharacterized. The record is from RefSeq and is a predicted model, not a curated record. The transcript is spliced from 5 exons. NCBI's taxonomy places the organism in Eukaryota, Metazoa, Chordata, Actinopteri, Salmoniformes, Salmonidae.
ACAAAAGCAGAAACAUACUAAGCGCUACACUUCCAACAACUAAACAAGUUCAAGUCCAGCAGUCAUUUGAAAGAGUAAGAACAUUUCAGCGAGACAACACAAAGGCGAAAUCCACUAAUGCCAAGAUAAUGGAAUUCAUUGCCCUUGACAGUCAACCGUCCUCUGUCGUGGAUGAUGUUGGCUUUUGCCGACUGGUCAAUCCCCGGCAUAAAUUAUUUUUCAAAUGUUGCCCUACCGGAGUUACACAGUAUUGUUGAAAUGUACAUCUAUGAGCUACUUGCUAUGGGCGUAACUGUUAUUAGACUCACGACUGACAUUUGGACCAGCGAUGUCAACCCCAUGAGCAUGUUGAGUUUGACAGCACAGUGGGUCCACAAGGAUCUCGUACUGAGGAAAGACGUAUUGCUCAAUAAUGUGCUGGUUCUCAUACCACUGCUGCCAUUUCAGUGCCAUUUGAGAACAUGUUUGAAACUUGGACACAUGAACACACUCCUAGCGCCAUUCGAACAACUGACUUCAGAAAUAAGCUAAACAACUGCAGCAGACGUGACACCCUCUGUCAUGGCACUGAAACACCUGCUCAACAAAACUGCCGACAGACCGUGGGGUUAAAACUUACAAAAGUACUUGAGGCUGUGAACAAGCGAUUUGGUAGCAUUCUCUCUACGCCUCUUUACUGUGUUGCCACCAUGCUAGAUGCUAGGUACAAGGACCGCUACUUUGAUGCAGACAAGAAACAGGGUUUACGUGAAAUGUUACAUACACAGCUGUGAGCACCGAGGAAGAGAAGCCACGGACAGACAGAGCUUAAACCUUCCCUGCUUGACAUGUCUAAUGAAAUCCUGGUUGAGACUGAAAUGACUGAACAAAUGAACAACGAAACAGCAAGAUCAGAGAGGAAGGUAAAUAGCAGCUGCUGCUAGCUGAACACAGGCCUGAAACAGGAGAGGAAUCCAGUACUCUCGUGUCCUGGGUUCAACCUGCCACACUACCACACUGGCUCUGCAUCCCACUAUGCCACAUUUUGAGAACUGAGUUAACCCCAUGGAAGAAUUGAAGAGAACGACAGAGAGAGAGGGAGGGUGUGUGCCAGUAUAAACUGGGAGACUGUCUGCUACUUUGAUGUUCCUCCCUCAGUAAACAGACUGGUAAAUGACUUCCCUCCGUGGCCCUGCCCUGCUGUAAAAUGCUGAGGCCUGUUCCAAGGCAGCUGGAUCUCUUACAAGCAGCCAAGGUCAACACACACACACCAGGCAGGUUUCCACAACACACACGCGUGUGUACCAGCCUUGGUGAAUGACCCGCUGUCCCUCUGUUAGUGCUGACCAUUGGUGCCAACCCACAGCAAGGAAACUGGGUCGAGCUCUGACAGGCUAAACACACACACAUUCACACUUGUCUUGCACGCGUGAGGUGCAGACAUUCAUCAUGUUUUGUGUGUAGUGGGUGAUGUCCAUCCAAUGAAGUUGUCAUGGAGAGAUGAUGUGUUUAUUUCAAAAUUAUACCAUUUAUUUAUUUCAUCUUUUAUGGCUUUUAUGGAGCACACACUCAGAACCCUAAUGCCAUCUGUGUGUUGUCGCACAUGAGGCCAAGGUGAGAUGGAUACUGGAUACUCUCAUGGUUUCUCACUCUGUCUCCAAGCAGACAGUCCAGAGACUGUGACGGCCAAGGGGUUUCAAAACAGGACACACAAAGGGAAGCUGAUUCCAGCUGAUUAACCCUGCAUUCAAGGAUUCUCAGUUACACAGAGACUGAACCAAGGCUUAACUUCCUCACUUCUCAGACUGUUUUAAAAGCACACACCAUCCUGUCUACUGGACCAGUCGACCAGAACUUUAAUGCUGGAGAGCCCUAGACAUAAGUUGCCUGUAGAUGCAGAUCUAGGAUCAGCUUACCUUCCCUGACUUAGACCCUCUCAACACUGUGCCUUCUGUCUGAAACAUUUCGGAAACAAUAUUACAUGGUGACGAUGUCAUGAGAUGGUUAGGAUGGUUGUGAUCACGGGCUGGCUCAUACCAGAUUCUGUCACUCUCACUCUUGAUGUGUGACCAGCUGGCCGGUGUGUUUACGGACAUAUUCAAUCAAUCCCUAUACCAGUCUGCUGUUCCCACAUGCUUCAAGAGGGCCACCAUUGUUCC